Long non-coding RNA from Vicia villosa (hairy vetch), 1327 nucleotides. RefSeq lists it as uncharacterized. The transcript is spliced from 3 exons. NCBI's taxonomy places the organism in Eukaryota, Viridiplantae, Streptophyta, Magnoliopsida, Fabales, Fabaceae. The record is from RefSeq and is a predicted model, not a curated record.
AAAAGAAAAGGGAAUUAGGUUUAGAAUGUGACCCUUGAGCUUUCUACGUUCAAUCUCCUUCCUUGAAACGAACGUGAAGCAACGACGGUGCCGAAGAUUCUUUGGCCCGAUCGACUCUCGGAGAGCCACCGUAAACUCAAUCUCUCGCUCAUCUCUUCUUCAAUCGUGAGUGACGAUGCCUCUCCUCCGAUUUGUUCUCGUCUUCCCUCGCUCAGCUCUCUUUGUUCUCGAUUCUCUGUAUGUCUUCAGAUUCGUCGUGGUUGAAGAGUGAUGAUAUUGUUGCUUGACGAAGCCGCAGUGAUGCCGAAGCUAUACGAAAGUGAGAUUGUUGCGUUCUUAUCUUCUGCAGAUUGGUGGAAUUGGAGAAGCUUGCAACGAAGGUUGGUGACUGUCUCUUUGCGUCAAAUUGAAGAUAAUGGAAUUCGUGGAUUAUCGAUGGAGAGUGGUGAUUGAAGAUUGGUUAUGCUGGAUCGAGUAUUGUUGGAAGAUUGAAGAGAGUUUGUUCCAUGGAUUCAUGAAGAAUAAGUGGAGAGAUUGAAGCUGGAUUUCGGUACUGAGUUUGAAGCUGUUUGGGAUUCGGGGCUGCACGGUUGAUGAGUUGUUGGCUGAGACAUAGGUUUUCUUUUAUGACAGAAUUUUCCCCUUGAUUGCAGGCCUGGCAUUGGUGUGGUUUCGACAUAUGGUUAGCAUCAAUUUUGGAACAAGGUCUAUCAAAGUGAAAAGCAUCAUUGCUUGAACAACAAGAAAUGCCUAUCCACAUGGCACAAAUAAAACGGUUAUGAAGAAAUGGAGAAAGAAAAGGAUAUGUUUUAGGAAGUGCUGUAUUUCUCCCGUGUAAUUUUCUUUGUACUUGCAAUGAAUCAGACAUGUGUUUCAAAUGCAUUGGAUUUGAGUGUAACUUGUAAUACUUUAGCUUGUAAUGACUUAUUCCCAGUGAAGAACUUUUUUCUCCAUUUUCAAAUUUGCAUCUUGAUUGAAUGAACUACAAGAUAUGAUGAGAAAUAAUCGAAAACAUCUAGAAGUUUAGUCAAAAGUCAACUUUCUAUGUUUGACUUUGACUAAAAGUCAAAGUUUAAAUUAUUUCCUUUCAAUUUGAAAUGAUUCUCAAGACACUUUAUCUCACCUCAAACUUUUGCGCAAAAUCCAAACCCAUAUAAUGAUCAUAACAAAAUCCUGAAGUCCACUGGUAAACCCAAACACACAGGCCCAAGAAACAUAAUCCUUUGAUUAGACACCAUACAUCGUUUUGCCCUUGAUGGGAAGAUAAAUAAGCCUUUGUGCCAAGUCUCGUUCGUGCGAGACCCCAUUUUACUCCAUGAUUCUUGAU